This is a long non-coding RNA of Eptatretus burgeri (inshore hagfish), 2824 nucleotides long. The record is from Ensembl. Lineage: Eukaryota; Metazoa; Chordata; Myxini; Myxiniformes; Myxinidae.
AUGCAAGAUCAGUCCCCUUCCAGUGAGCUUUCGUGUUCAACUAUUGCUGCACAAAGAACACCUGCCGCUCCCCUGACGACAGCUAGCCCCAGCAAUGCUGUCGAGAUGGUCUCCAACAAAUCAUCAACCGGAAAUCAAUUGAGCAGCACACCAGCAGAUUCACGGCUGCUUCUGUCACCAGGAAAAGCAGUGACGCCCACCAAUCAACUAAUGCUGGCAAACAGCAGUGCUGUGCUGGGUAAGAAUGCGGGGAUAUUAACUACCAAGGAGAGUCCAACUCUCAUUACCAAUCCAUCCAUCUUGCAAGCACUGGCAAGCAGUAGUGGCUUGUUCGGUGGAAACAUGCUGAUUGGGGGGACAGCAGGCAGCCACCCAAGUGGGCUGCUCUCUGCCCCAUUUUUCCUUGGCUCUUCAGUCCUUCCCACAAUUAACACGGGCCCCGCCUCAAUGGCGGCCUCUCCUGCCAUCACCGGUGCACCCUCGCCACUUGGCGUGACAACCGCCAUUGCUGUAACGAUGGCAGAAGCGUCCACCAAGGCUCAGUGACCCCACUGUAUGGUGGAAACACUGACCACCCAAUUGCCAUGGAAACAAUUGUCUGCUCGGAACAGAUUUAAAAGCAAAAACGACAAAGAAAAACUGGCUGUGGGACACUUGUUUUGGAAUUGUCUCCCAGCAGCCAUCUGGACACUAAUUUUGUUAACCUAAUAAAUUGAAUGAUGUUUUUGUUUUGUUUUUAUAGAGAUCGAGGCUCAUGGAAGAGUUAACAGAAAGAAGGGUGAUGUGUUGGAGGAGAGACAGGUUGCAAAAGUGUAGCUGUACGUGGAUGAAGAGUCUUUGCUCCAGAGAUUGCCUCGACAAGAUGGUGUCUUUUCUUGAUUAUUUGCAUUUCAAUAUUUCAAGUCAGGAUUGUGCUGAUAAGGGAGCGUCAUUGGAUUUUUCAUGUGAUCCAACAGCAUUAAAUUGGCACAUCUUGGAGAUUAGGUUAAGGAAUGUUUGUCCCAUUUAUGUUCUUUACCUCUUUGGAAAAAUGGGGGGCAAAAUUUGUCGUGAAGAAGCAGAUGCAGAAGGUUGUGUUUUUGUUCGGAAAGGGUUGGCAUGUGCUGUGAUGGACAGUUGUAGAUCAGGUUGUUUUGGCCCAAAAGGACUUAAAAUCUUGCUGCCUACUUGGAGAAGUCCUGUGUAGGUUGGGUGGUGGACCGAGCUUGAAUAUCACGUUUGUGGAGGUGAUGCAGCAUUGUUUAGUUUGAAUGCCAAAAAAAAAAUGGAGGGAAAGAGACUGGAGGCACGAAAUGGCUGAAAAAUACCUCAGUGACUCGAACACCAAAAAAGUAGAAAGGCCACCUUGGAAAUUGUAAAAUAGCGAGGUAGAUGGACAUCGCUUGUCCUUGAACAUUGAGCAUCCAGAGAAAUAUUCGGUUUGAAGCCAAAGAGUCCAACCUGGACAGUGACGGAAACGUGUACCAAUAGGUUGGGGCUGCACUGCAACAGAUACCUUUCGACACUUGCUAUGGGAUUUUCAGCCUGGGCCUAAUAUGAGGAAUAACCAGACUGGCAAUGUGUAGUCAAGAAGUGGUCUUGGUUGGACAAUCUUGGAGACAGAUGGAGUGGGACAGUGGUUGUUCAGCACGUUGUGUCCAAAGAUUAGAAACCGUUUUCUUUUACUUGUCCUGCUUUGCUUACUCUCUUGACUGUGGUCUCCUCGAGCAGAUGGAGUAUGUAGCAUGCCCGGAGGGAUUCGCCGUGCAUCGACCUUUGUGCCUGACCUCGAUGAACGGCCAUUUCCCUUCUGGUCUAACCUUAUCCUUAUUGUUAUUGAAGCGUAUGUCUCUGCCUCUUCUUUGGACCUUCCUCUUCCCUGCAGCCAUUUUUUGCUGCCUUCGCCCCUUUUACUUGCCUCGAACCAAAGAUUUUAUCACUCCCAUGUCCCAUAAUCACAUAACGAGUGGUUUUGUUGUCGGAUCAUGCUUGUUUAUUCACCGGACUGUUCCCGAUUAACUCAUCAAUUCCUAAUUUUAAUUGAGGGUUGAAGUAAAGUCUCGGUGGAGAUCAUUUUUUUUUGGUUUUUAAGCACAAAUCAGUGAAAUGUUUAUUUUAAAGCACCUCGUUAACUCGAGUCUCACAGCGGCUCUUCUCUCUUUAUUUUAUUAUUAUUGUGUACAUAAUAUCUCACUCUCUAUUGGAGUACAAACCUGGGUGGUUCCUCCCCCCCCCCCUUAAAUGAGGGAUCUCUCAUCUUACCUUCAACGUAACACUUUCGUUUGGUUGUGAUCAUUUUCUCUUUUUAAUUUGUUCUUCCAACAAGUGAUCGAUCAAUCUUUCCUUAAUUUCAAACUAAUUGUUCGUGUGAAAGCUUUCUUUUGCUCAUCCCUUUUUUGCUGCCUUUUCUACCUUCACUUUAUCCUCCUUAUUUACAUCGCUUUCUCUGCACUGUCCAAUACCGGCGUUCAAACUUUCACAAAUGCUUGUGACCAUUAUUACCCACUGCCCCCCUUUUGGGUAGUCUGUUUUGGUACUGACUUGUAGAGGGGCGAGUUUUAUUAUGUAUUUAUUGUUUUUCCCCCUCAACACUCAGAAUAGUCGUUUAAGACAGGUUGUCUGUUGAUGUGAACUUUCGGAGUCUCGCGUCAUCAUAUUCUCAGUCCUCUUUCAUUUCCUUUAUUAUUAUUAUUAUUAUUUUUCAUCUGGCUGUGAAGGGGGUGGGGGGGGGGCAGAGAACGAUUAAAAGGACUUCCACCUGGAAAUAUUAACAGCGGCUUGCGAGUUUGAAUAGUGUUGCUACCCCAAAUUGGUAACCCUCCUUGUCAGGAGUGUUUGGCGAUCA